GGAACCUUCCUACCAAUGAAGGUUAGGAAACCUUUUACGUUUUCUUCAGUGAAUUGCCUACCCACAUAAGCCAAGGAGAUUCAAAAUAGAUGUUCUCCAUGCCAGGAGCCAUAGCCUUCAGAGAGUGAAAGUGAGAAGGUUCUGGGAGAUCCCUGAAAAAGAAUGAGACCUUCAGGUACCUCACGAAAUUCCACAUCGCUUCAGAUUUCAGGGAUAGAUGUUGCUUCAGAUAUCCGGGACUCAUUGUGAAUUCAGCUAAUUCAGCAGGCGAUUUGAUGUGUUACCUGAAAACGCACUUUGAAUUCAAAUUCUUGCUUCCUGGCCCCACUGGAGAUGAGGCAAUCCAUGAAGCCCCAGGAGCUGAAUGAGCAGUGGCUGCCUCUGUCUUAAAUGCCCUUGCUGGAAUAGAGAAGUUUGAAAACUAUAAUCUGACUUCUUGAAUUUUUCAAUUGUUGCGGCUGGCAAGAUAGGCUAGUACCUUGCUCCAGGAUGACCAGUGCUAACUCUGGAAAGCAAAAGCAGGAUUUCCCACUCUGAAGUUCUGCCUGUUCCUGUUUAUUGCCUGUACAGGCCAAAUACUGAGUUGGUAUGCGAUGCCUUUUGUAUGAAGAGCUUCCCAAGUGAUGUUAAGUUUCUGCCGUGUCCACAAAGGCUGUGACCCAGGCCUUCCUGAAAGGGAGUCUCUGUCUUAACGGGAAACCCAUGCUACAAAGGGAUUCUCCUGAACAGUAACAGGUGGAAAUCAGGGCUGCUGCUCAAGUAAAGUCUUGCUGCACAGAUUUUAUUCCUUGAAGUCUUCAAGAGGACUUUCAAAGCCUUAUGGUAUAGACCUCCAAAGCACAUUGUCCUGCAGGGUCCUCGUCAGGAGUUGAAAAUAAGGAAAACAGAGGAAGAAAACCAUAAAGAGCAUAUGAAAAGUUAAAAAUACAGAGCUGGAGGUGAACCUAAACACUCAGAGGUAAUUUGCCUUGAGGAGCAAGAACCCUUGAGACCUAUGUGUAGACUUUGGAAAAAAGAAUCUGUGAACAAUAGUAAAGGCUAUGAACGUGCUAUCCUCUGACAGCUCACUGUUGAUCUGAUGGCAGCUGAAAGGGCAAAAGAGAAAGGUUGAAGCAUUUUAGGAAGAUUUACGGAUCUUACAAGAAAAACAAUAAACAAAAUCAAACAAGGUUUAAAAGUGAACUUGGAAGUCACUGUAUUCCUGCAUGAAAGUCCCUACAGUUGUGACACUUCUUCAGUUUUCACAAUAACAUCAGACAAAAGAGGGUGAAAGAAUAAACAAUUCUGCUGCGAAUAUUCAAUGCCAGGAACAAGUGAAUGCAGGAAAACUGCUUCAGACACUAAUAACAACUAAAAUCACAGCAUCUUACCUGGAGCUAUGUUUGAUGAAAAGAGCAAAAGUUAGUUCUAAGAAGAGAACACAGCAGAGAAAAAUACAGAGACCUCUGCUUUGUUUACAUGGAGUAUCUCUGAAAAGCUUUUGCACUAUUACUUCCCCAGCUCAUCCUAGUGUAAGACAGCAGGGUAGGCUGGGCUAGGACAGAAAAUAACAUUUUUGCAUUGCUGACAGAAAAAUGGGAUGCUAUCCCUGCUAUAAAGUAAGUAAGAAGGGCUCUUUUUUAUAACUCCUACAUAUAUACUUAGCCCUAGUGCAAGUCGAUUAGCAUUUUUCUUAGUGCUUUUGUGGACACUGAUUUUUUUUUUUAUUUUUUUCCUGUAAGUGAGAGGACAUGUGGCAUGCCUGAGAAAUCCAGCACUGAUGGGACUUGGAAAUGCAGUUUGCUUAACUCAGAGCAACAGUAUCCAGAAACUGAUGGCUCAUCUACAAAAUGAACUGGUUGUUUCCCUUCAACAACUAAAGGACAAACGCCUUCAAUACAAAAUAACAUUACAACAGGCUCUUGCAAGUGGUCAUAGAAAAGUGACAAUGGAUUUAGCGGGGUUGAUUGUAUCACCUGGUUUCCAUUAGAACCUUUUUAAUUUUACCUGUAAUCAACCCUCAGGAGAUAGGCUUGCUAGCAAGGCACCAUGGCCAUCACGUAGUGGUUUCCUAUAUUCAUUAUAGCUCAGAUCUCUUCUGCAGAUUGAAGAUUCAGAGGUCAAUAAGCACCUUUCAGGAGCACUCCGUUCACAUUCAGAGAAUGUGGUUAUUGCACUGCCUUGUACUGGGCAUCGUCGCUUCUUUGCAUGCGUUCAACAGAGUGACAUCGACACUCCUGUCAUUUUGCUUGCACUUCAUGUUUCCGUCUUCAGCGUUUCUGAGACAGAGCAAGACCUGCCAAUCCCUAUCAGGAAUUUGAGGCUCUUCCCUCCAAUGUUUCUAGCGAAGUUAAAACAGCAGUGUCCAAGGCCUCUCUUUAUGAAGAACUUUACACUGGAGCUGAUAAUAGUGCCACCACAUUCAAACCCAGUUUGCUUGCCAGCUGGGAUGAUUGCACACAGAAAUAUAUGCUCAGAUAUAUGUUUAUUUGGAUUUCACUCUUAUUGUAAUAUUUUAAUCCUUUUCUGUGAAUCUGAGUCACGACAUCUUUUUCUUCCAAUAAAUGUCUCACAGGAAUUUUGUUUACUAAUUCUUUAACUAACAAAGGAAUACCUCAGGCCUCCGAGUUUUUUCAGAAAAGAGGCAUCAGAUCUACCCCUGCAGUGCAGCAUCAUCCAGACCAAACAGAAAGUGCUUCAUGUGCUCUUCCUUGCAUUAGUCUUGUGCAGAGAUACAAGCGAGUAUUUGCCAGGCCAGAACAUUUAUCAUCUGACUCCAUUUCAUCACAUGAUGGGUUACCUGUGGGUAAGGCUGUAAUUGAAGAGGGGUCGUGGAAGAUGUUUAUUCUUAGACAGUUCUGCCAAUCACAUACAGCAUAAGACCUUGGGAAUACUAAUAGCAUAGUCCAAAUGGGAUUCAGAUACUUGUGGCAUGUAGGUAGCCAACAGCAAUUCGGUGCUGAAGGGAGUCCACUGUGAGUGUUUUGCAAAAGUCAAGUUUUUCGCCCAAACAUCAGAUCACUGACAGAACCCCUAAGAAGUCAGAUGCUCGUUGUUCCACUGUUUUUUUCUCUGCAUCUAAGCUGAAUACUAAGAAUUCAGUAGCCUGAUAGUGGAUGGAAUGACCAUGUUUCUGAACAGUGAAAGCUAUUGGUAGGCCCAAGGUAGUAGGUUCUGACUGCCCUUGAGAUCUUUACGCCAAGAACAGGGGCACUGAGGUUGUUGUCAGAGUUACCUGUGUGUAAACCAAAUGCAUCAGGAGGGCCACUUUAGACCAGUUAUUGUCAAAGGUGUCUGUCAGAUCUCGUACUGUUCAGCCCCCACAGUCACAUGUGUGAGAAUGAGCCUUUGGAGCAAAGUUACUACUACCUUCUGCCCAGGCAACAGGCUCUUCUAAGCCAGGGAUUGAUUUUGCAUUCUAAACCUUGGAAAUCGAGUUCCAAUUGGCUGAGAACAGGACUGUAUUUGUACUGUUAGUGUAGAGCCUAGCACAACAAACACCAGCCUGUGAUCUUGUUCUUAUGUGCAAUGGUGUUGUGGAAGGCCAGAUAUCCAUGUCAAAAAUUAACUUUAUUUCCUACUAAAAAGCCCUGUCUUCACCGUGUCCAUGCUUGGGCACUGAAAAGAUUUUGGUUUGUGUCAGUCAUGGGUGACUCUUUGGAGUGUACAGAACUCACCAGAUUAUUCACGGAGGCUGCCAUGUAUUUCUGUUUGCAGACCACCUUAGUUACCCCUUUAAAUAUUGCAUCUGUCAUUAUCACAGUCUUUCAACCCCAUCCAAGUUGUUGUGAUUAUUUCCUAGAGUCUGUUUCUCCUGUAUUAGCAUGAUUGAUACAAAUAUAUUAAAGAAUUUCGCUUUUA
Long non-coding RNA from Tyto alba (common barn owl), 3840 nucleotides. RefSeq lists it as uncharacterized. The transcript is spliced from 11 exons. Lineage: Eukaryota; Metazoa; Chordata; Aves; Strigiformes; Tytonidae. The record is from RefSeq and is a predicted model, not a curated record.